Molecule: long non-coding RNA, 235 nt
Filed under: Glycine max (soybean)
Lineage: Eukaryota; Viridiplantae; Streptophyta; Magnoliopsida; Fabales; Fabaceae
Description: long non-coding RNA (GMAX_LNC000309)
Source: RNAcentral
AAGAAAUGAAAAAUAAUAUGUAUAUCAAUAUAGGAAAUAAAAAGAUAGGUGUUAAAGUAUAGAAACUAAGUGGAAGAUUAUGUAACUAUAAGAAUAAAUGAGUAAUUAAAUUAUUUAAAAUCUAAACCUAAACUUCCUCUUAGAUGGAAGAAUAACCAGUUUCUUGAUUAUUUCGUAUCCAUGCACACCUUCGGACUUCAACGGAUUAGUUUCCAUUUCUUUGAUUUCUCCUUUG